CACUCGCUGCCUCGGCAGCGCGCUGCUCUUCUAAGAUGGCUGCCGCUACCGGUGCGGUGGCAGCCUCGGCCGCCUCGGGUCAGGCGGAAGGUAAAAAGAUCACCGAUUUGCGGGUCAUCGAUCUGAAGUCCGAGCUGAAGCGGCGGAACUUAGACAUCACCGGAGUCAAGACCGUGCUCAUCUCCCGACUCAAGCAGGCUAUUGAAGAGGAAGGAGGCGAUCCAGAUAAUAUUGAAUUAACUGUUUCAACUGAUACUCCAAACAAGAAACCAACUAAAGGCAAAGGUAAAAAACAUGAAGCAGAUGAGUUGAGUGGAGAUGCUUCUGUGGAAGAUGAUGCUUUUAUCAAGGAUGGUGAGGAAGAAGAAAAUGAGAAAGGGAGCCUAGCUGAGGCUGAUCACACAGCUCAUGAAGAGAUGGAAGCUCAUACGACUGUGAAAGAAGCUGAGGAUGACAACAUCUCGGUCACAAUCCAGGCUGAAGAUGCCAUCACUCUGGAUUUUGAUGGUGAUGACCUCCUAGAAACAGGUAAAAAUGUGAAAAUUACAGAUUCUGAAGCAAGUAAGCCAAAAGAUGGGCAGGACGCCAUUGCACAGAGCCCGGAGAAGGAAAGCAAGGAUUAUGAGAUGAAUGCGAACCAUAAAGAUGGUAAGAAGGAAGACUGCGUGAAGGGUGACCCUGUCGAGAAGGAAGCCAGAGAAAGUUCUAAGAAAGCAGAAUCUGGAGACAAAGAAAAGGAUACUUUGAAGAAAGGGCCCUCGUCUACUGGGGCCUCUGGUCAAGCAAAGAGGUUUGUUUUUCUAUGUCAGUUCUUUACGAUACUGAAUUCCAGCAUUCAAUAAGAUCACUCUACAUUAAGGGGGUGGCUUCAAGAACAUGUACAGUAAUUAGUGUCUUAUGAUCCUGCCUAUAAUAUUUUUGACCGUCAUAAGUUACUUUUAAAAAUUUUCAAGAUCUUCAUAAUAAUGCAGUGUGUUCUACUGAUUGCAUUGUCGAAUGUCAGCAUAUAUUUGGUUUUUUUGUUGUUUUUUGUUUUUUGUUUUUUUUUCAAAUUGACAAUUUUUUUGUGUUUUAUUUUUUAAAAUCCUUGUGAUGAUGGUUAAUGAACAACUAUCAGUUCUAAGAACACAAAAUGAAGUCAAGUCCCAGUCCUGAAAUCUGGAGAAGAUGGCCAUAUUUCCACUGAAUAGAAUUGUCAGAAAAUCUAGAUCUUCAGGCAUCUUGGGGAAAAUCAGUGCAAGAAUCCUCAGGGAGUCAUUUGUUCAAAUAACCUAAUCUAGGCCUUUGGAAUUGUUAAUUUGUAUGAAUAGCACUAGUUUGAAAUAUAGUAAAUAUCAAGCUGUUCUGUUUUGGGUUUGUUUUUGUUUUUGUUUUCAAUUUUCUUCUGGUGAUUUGCCUCUUUAGCUCUUCAAAGGAAUCUAAAGACAGCAAGACAUCAUCUAAAGAUGACAAAGGUAAAGAAUUUUUUUCCCUAUUUAUUUCAGUGUUGACAUUGCGUAUUUUCAUUAAAAAGUAGUAGUUGCGCGGUGUUUUCUUUGACAUUUAGUCCUUAAAAAUUUUAUUGACAGACUAGAAACUUGAGAUGGUCUUUAUAUAAACUGUGGAAUUAUAUAUAUUACAGAAAACUGAUUGAUGUGUUACUGUUUACUUACUUUGUAAACUGGUAUGGGGUACGUUAAAAACCCAUUAGCUAGGAAACACUUACCUGGUGUGUUCUAAGGGACUGUGUUGAAUAUUAAUAGAUACUUUCUUACAUUAUAAUUUCAGAACUAUUUUAUCUUUUGUUACUCAUUUAUAACUACUGUGUAUCACCACAACCUUUUUCCUGUUCUGUCUUUAAAUAAUACUUGUGUGUAUUUGUGGAGUCUAGUGUUCUUUUUUCUUUUUUUUAAAUUCUUGUAAGUUUCAAAGUGCAAUAUUUAGUUGCUUUCUGAUACUGAGAAAUCUCUGGUUAUCUCAUGCCCAUGAGCUGUAGUUUCAUCUUGUACAUGUGCUGUGUUUACUUGAAAAAUACUUAAUUUCUAGAAAAGGAUUUUAAGGGAAAAUAAAACAUUCAGGUACUGCAAAGCUUUUAAAUACCUCCUAAAUGUGUAAAGGAGAAUUGUAUGCAUCCUCCAUAGUUUAUUUUAAAUCGUUAGAAAUCAUAAGGAUGUGAUUUAGGAAUUGGUUGGUCUUGCUUAAAAGAAUGUGAAAUACAGAAAUUGUUCCUUUUAAUUGCUUGUAUACUGUUUCUCUUAAAGUGAGUAAAAAUUAUUUUCCAAAUAAAGUCAAGUGAAUG
Molecule: small RNA, 2278 nt
Filed under: Pan troglodytes (chimpanzee)
Lineage: Eukaryota; Metazoa; Chordata; Mammalia; Primates; Hominidae
Description: retained intron
Source: RNAcentral